Molecule: transfer RNA, 72 nt
Filed under: Myroconger compressus (red eel)
Lineage: Eukaryota; Metazoa; Chordata; Actinopteri; Anguilliformes; Myrocongridae
Description: tRNA-Ile
Rfam family: tRNA
About the family: Transfer RNA (tRNA) molecules are approximately 80 nucleotides in length.
Source: RNAcentral
GGAUGUGUGCCUGAAUAAUAAAGGAUUACUUUGAUAGAGUAAACUAUGGGAGUUAAAAUCUCCCCGCCUCCU